GUGUGAGCAACAAGGCUGUUUAUUUCACCUGGGCGCAGCAUUCACCAGGGCUUAGAAGACCCUGUGGCACCUGAAAGUGAAUGUGCAAUUGGAUUGGAGUUAUGCUGCAACAAUUAGCUGCUCAAUUGUGUGUUUAUUACAUAUACCAAGAUCACUUAAAUAACACUACAG
Homo sapiens (human) is the source of this 171-nucleotide long non-coding RNA. The record is from Ensembl. NCBI's taxonomy places the organism in Eukaryota, Metazoa, Chordata, Mammalia, Primates, Hominidae.